This 253-nucleotide ribosomal RNA is filed under the name uncultured bacterium. RNAcentral describes it as "partial 16S ribosomal RNA". It matches the Rfam family "Bacterial small subunit ribosomal RNA", at positions 524 to 776 of the family's 1533-position model. The record is from RNAcentral.
UACGAAGGGGGCUAGCGUUGUUCGGAAUUACUGGGCGUAAAGCGCGCGCAGGCGGUUCUCCAAGUCAGUGGUGAAAGCCCGGAGCUCAACUCCGGAACUGCCAUUGAAACUGUUGAACUUGAGGACGAGAGAGGUGAGUGGAAUUCCCAGUGUAGAGGUGAAAUUCGUAGAUAUUGGGAAGAACACCAGUGGCGAAGGCGGCUCACAGGCUCGUAUCUGACGCUCAGGCGCGAUAGCGUGGGGAUCAAACAGG